Molecule: ribosomal RNA, 410 nt
Filed under: uncultured microorganism
Description: bacterial SSU rRNA
Rfam family: Bacterial small subunit ribosomal RNA
Source: RNAcentral
CAGCAGCCGCGGUAAUACGUAGGGUGCGAGCGUUAAUCGGAUUUACUGGGCGUAAAGCGUGCGCAGGCGGCCCGUUAAGACAGGUGUGAAAUCCCUGGGCUCAACCUAGGAAUUGCGCUUGUGACUGGCGGGCUCGAGUACGGUAGAGGGGGGUGGAAUUCCUGGUGUAGCAGUGAAAUGCGUAGCGAUCAGGAGGAACACCGAUGGCGAAGGCAGCCCCCUGGGCCUGUACUGACGCUCAUGCACGAAAGCGUGGGGAGCAAACAGGAUUAGAUACCCUGGUAGUCCACGCCCUAAACGAUGGGUACUAGCCGUUUGGUGCGCGAUAGCGCUGAGUGGCGAAGCUAACGCGUGAAGUACCCCGCCUGGGGAGUACGGCCGCAAGGUUGAAACUUAAAGGAAUUGGCGGG